RNAcentral lists this ribosomal RNA (484 nucleotides) under uncultured bacterium. RNAcentral describes it as "partial 16S ribosomal RNA". It matches the Rfam family "Bacterial small subunit ribosomal RNA", at positions 29 to 507 of the family's 1533-position model. The record is from RNAcentral.
AUUGAACGCUGGCGGCAUGCUUUACACAUGCAAGUCGAACGGCAGCGCGGGCUUCGGCCUGGCGGCGAGUGGCGAACGGGUGAGUAAUGCAUCGGAACGUGCCCAGUAGUGGGGGAUAGCCCGGCGAAAGCCGGAUUAAUACCGCAUACGACCUGAGGGUGAAAGCGGGGGACCGAAAGGCCUCGCGCUAUUGGAGCGGCCGAUGUCGGAUUAGCUAGUUGGUGGGGUAAAGGCUUACCAAGGCGACGAUCCGUAGCUGGUCUGAGAGGACGACCAGCCACACUGGGACUGAGACACGGCCCAGACUCCUACGGGAGGCAGCAGUGGGAAAUUUUGGACAAUGGGGGCAACCCUGAUCCAGCCAUGCCGCGUGCGGGAAGAAGGCCUUCGGGUUGUAAACCGCUUUUGUUCGGGAAGAAAUCCUCUGGGCUAAUACCCCGGGGGGAUGACGGUACCGGAAGAAUAAGCACCGGCUAACUACGUG